AAGUCGUAACAAGGUCUCCGUUGGUGAACCAGCGGAGGGAUCAUUAUAGGACUCGCAAGACUCCCGUAAACCACUGUGAACCUACCCAUCGUUGCCUCGGCGGGCGCCCGGGCUCAGCGCUCGGCCCGCCGGCGGCCCCCUUACCCUGAUUUUUUAUUAAGCAUCUCAGAGGAUACACAAACGAAUCAAAACUUUCAACAACGGAUCUCUUGGUUCUG
This 218-nucleotide unclassified non-coding RNA is filed under the name air metagenome. RNAcentral describes it as "partial contains small subunit ribosomal RNA, internal transcribed spacer 1, and 5.8S ribosomal RNA". The stretch from base 1 to 46 matches the Rfam family "Eukaryotic small subunit ribosomal RNA", at positions 1786 to 1831 of the family's 1831-position model. The record is from RNAcentral.